Molecule: ribosomal RNA, 301 nt
Filed under: uncultured bacterium
Lineage: Bacteria
Description: partial 16S ribosomal RNA
Rfam family: Bacterial small subunit ribosomal RNA
Source: RNAcentral
CAGCAGCCGCGGUAAUACGUAGGUGGCAAGCGUUGUCCGGAAUUAUUAGGCGUAAAGGGCUCGCAGGCGGUUCCUUAAGUCUGAUGUGAAAGCCCCCGGCUCAACCGGGGAGGGUCAUUGGAAACUGGGAAACUUGAGUGCAGAAGAGGAGAGUGGAAUUCCACGUGUAGCGGUGAAAUGCGUAGAGGUGUGGAGGAACACCAGUGGCGAAGGCGACUCUCUGGUCUGUAACUGACGCUGAGGAGCGAAAGCGUGGGGAGCGAACAGGAUUAGAUACCCCCGUAGUCCCUGUCUCUUAUAC